GUGACUUGAGGAUUACAUAGAGGAAGUUAAAAAAGAUAUUUUGCAUCAUUUAAUUACGAGCCCUUUAACUAUCUGAGUAAUGUUGAUGGAGUCCAGAAAAAUGUGUCUUGGUCUGCCUUAGGCAGCAUAAAAUGAGAACAUGCUUGAUCUCAGAGGGGGAAAAAGGCACAUGGAGAGAUUGGAACAGGGAACUUGCACUUGACAAAUGACCCAAGCAUGAGAAAAUUAACUGGCAAAAUAUUAACACUUCAUCUUCUGAGAAGCUUGGCAUUAUCAGAAAAGAAGGAUUCACUGUACCUUUUUAAAAACCACCCAAUCAAACAAAAAAACCAACCAAACAACAAAGGAAAAAACCCAUUGUCAAAGCCUAUUUCCCUUCUGAGCUAAUCAGGCUCCAGUUAUUUAAAUCAGUGUUCUUCCCAGAAGUUGUAUUCUGGUGCAACAGGGGUGUAUCAUUAAGUGUCCCUCCACUGGAAGAAGCAAAUCACAGUUCUCUAUUUCUCCAGUUUCCAUCUCUGAAUUUCCACUGUUUUUCUUGAUGUUACUCCCCUUUAUAAUCAUGGCAGUUACAAAAGUAAGGCCCCUGUGUGUAACUCCCAGCCCAACCCCUUGGUGAGUGUAAACAACAAUGACUUGUGAAGGCUGUCCGAUUUCAGGGGAAGGACUACGUGGUUUUUACAAAUAUAGGGGCCGAUCCUGUUCCCACUGAAGUCUAUAGGAGUUUAGCUUAUGAACUGGAAACUUCUCUCAGUCUUAGCUGUAUUCAGAUUCUGUAGCUGUCCAGCUCCUUUGGCUAUUCCUUCCAAGUCUAUAGCUCCAGAGGUGGAAAUUCUCCUAUCUUCUAGUGUAUAUGCAGACAAGUGAGGGGGUCUGAUCCCACCAAAUGAUGUUUGGUGGGUGUUGACUAAUUUGCAGAUCUACUCUUUUGGGGGAGGGUUGAGGUUUUUUUGCUAAUAUCUUGACUUCCACCUUGGGAGGAGUCAGAUGAAACAUAUAAAUUGUGAGACAGAAGCAUGACUUAGUUAGGAUGAACAGAAUACAUCAGCUGAGGUAGAGCUAGGCACCCACAGAGCAGUCAGCCAGGGAAACUGCUGCUUUCCAGCUAAAAAGCAUGACAAGCCUCUCUUUGCUAAUAAGACAGGGAGCACAAUCAGGCAAGUGGAGUAAGUGCUGUUUACUCAAAAUCUCUGUUCCCUAGUACUACAUCAAGCUCCUACUCUGAGUCUAUUGAUAGAUGUCAUAUACAAAAGUCCAUCUCCUUCAGAUAGGACAAAGAAACGGAGAAUGAACCAAAGGAGCACUGCCCUGUUUUCUGUUGCACCAAACUAAGGGCAUUAGAUUCAAAGACUUCUGUUCAAUUACCUUGACAUGUAACCACUGAGGCUUCUAGUCUUGGCAUUCCUGUGCCAGUUUUGCAGAAAAGAUGCCUCCCUGUCUUCAACAGAAUGGAAAGACAAAAGCAGCUUUGCUCAUAGAAUGUCUCCUAGAAUGGCAGAAUCAUAUUUCAGGAAUAUUAAAUCAUUCUGCAUUUCCAUCACGAGUCUUAGGAUUUCUAAAUUCAAACAAUUUAUAAUUUAGAUCACAAACUACCCUCUAAAUAGUGAUUUGAUGAAACACAGGAACCCUGCGGAAGGCUGUGUUUUUCUUAAAAUAUGACAGAAGGAAUAUUUAUUUUGAGUACAAAAUUGUUUCAUUAAAAAAAAAGCAUGGCUUAGUAGAGAUUUUUUCAGAAGUAAGAUUCAUGAGGAAGCAUCAGUGUCUUUAAAGCCCUGUUUAAAUCUCAGGUCAACAUUAUACUUGUGUUGCAGCAAACAUGACACACAUCACAAAUAAUUCCAUUCCAUUAAGUAAAAACUCUCCUAGACUAAAAUGAACUUACUUCAUAUCGAGCUGGAGCUUUUCACUGUACAUGCAAACAUGUAGGAAAAUAUAAAAUUCAGAUUGUAACUUAGCUAGGGAAAAUUAUGACUUUUUAAGGAUUAAGAAAACUAGAGAGAGAGACAGAAACCGCAAGUCUUUGAUUUCUACAGUUGACAUGUCAAAACAAACCUAUAAAAGAAAGUAUCAGGACAAAGACUGCUUGGGUAAUGUACACCAGUAAAGUGAAGUCUGUCCAUAAAGAAGUCAACCAACUGUGCCUGCAGCCUGUGACACAAGCACGCUGGAUGCUCUAAUGUUCAAGACACUCUACAGAACCAAGACUUAGGUGGCGUGUGUUUUCCACUGAUCUUCUAAGUGCUCUUGCACAGGAAAACCUUAUUUGUAAAGUAAGUGAAAAGAUUAAUCACUGCUUUUUCAUGUCUUUCCCACAUACCCUUCUAUGGAUAAAGCUUAAAAAAAAAUUCAGUAACUGAAAAAACUAAAAUGUGACAAGUACAUUACAGUUUGAGAUAUAUGUCAGGCAAAUGAUUUUUCAGGUACUCUUCUGGCAUUGCCUGCAUAUCCACAGAGUUCAUAAAACAACUAAAUGAUGAUUUAUGCAUGGUAACUUCCUAGGCAGUAAUUGUUAUGCCAAGAAAAACUUAUUUACUGAUUGCAGGCACCCAUACAAUAACAGACGGAUUUUUUUUAUUCAUGAACCAAUCAAUCAGUGUGAAGCACAGAUGGUGAAUGGUGAAAACAGAAAAUACAAGGUUCAUUUUUCCUUCAUUUCUAAAGAGAAUGUCUAAGCUAUAUUGUUGUCACUGAGAAGUGGGUCUCUGCUGUGAAAUGUAGAACAAAAUAAUGUGGGUUGACCUAGAAACUGUACAGUUUCUGUGGUUACAGAGGUAAAAUCACGCUGCACAGGCAACAAAACAUAAAUUUCUAUGGUACAUUUGUAACUUGGCUCAUGUAUUUGCCUUUCGAAUCACAGAGAAUUCAAGAAAUGUCAAGAUAUUAAUUCUGAAAAUCAGAUCAGCAACAAAAAAAAAAAGAAAAUUGCCCUAAACCUGUAGCACUAUUUCAGUACUCAAAA
Pseudopipra pipra is the source of this 2956-nucleotide long non-coding RNA. RefSeq lists it as uncharacterized. The transcript is spliced from 2 exons. The record is from RefSeq and is a predicted model, not a curated record. NCBI's taxonomy places the organism in Eukaryota, Metazoa, Chordata, Aves, Passeriformes, Pipridae.